CUUCCAAAGUUUGCAGGUUUUGUAUACUUUUGUAUUGCAAUUUUCGCAUGCAAUACAAAAGUAUACAAAAUUUGCAAGGUUAUAUUUUUCCU
Paramuricea clavata is the source of this 92-nucleotide non-coding RNA. NCBI's taxonomy places the organism in Eukaryota, Metazoa, Cnidaria, Anthozoa, Malacalcyonacea, Plexauridae. The record is from the annotation of a GenBank genome assembly.